This 869-nucleotide ribosomal RNA is filed under the name uncultured bacterium. Its description in RNAcentral is "bacterial SSU rRNA". It matches the Rfam family "Bacterial small subunit ribosomal RNA", at positions 21 to 902 of the family's 1533-position model. The record is from RNAcentral.
GGCUCAGGACGAACGCGGCCGGCGUGCUUAACACAUGCAAGUCGAACGGUAAGGCCCCUUCGGGGGUACACGAGUGGCGAACGGGUGAGUAACACGUGAGCAACCUGCCCUUGACUCUGGAAUAACAGCUGGAAACAGCUGCUAAUACCGGAUAUGACCUCUUACGACAUCGUACGGAGGUGGAAAGCUCCGGCGGUCAAGGAUGGGCUCGCGGCCUAUCAGCUAGUUGGUGGGGUAACGGCCUACCAAGGCUUCGACGGGUAGCCGGCCUGAGAGGGCGACCGGCCACACUGGGACUGAGAUACGGCCCAGACUCCUACGGGAGGCAGCAGUGGGAAUAUUGCACAAUGGGCGCAAGCCUGAUGCAGCAACGCCGCGUGCGGGAUGACGGCCUUCGGGUUGUAAACCGCUUUCAGCUCCGACGAAGCGCAAGUGACGGUAGGAGCAGAAGAAGGACCGGCCAACUACGUGCCAGCAGCCGCGGUGAUACGUAGGGUCCGAGCGUUGUCCGGAAUUAUUGGGCGUAAAGGGCUUGUAGGCGGUUUGUCGCGUCGGAAGUGAAAACUCAGGGCUUAACCCUGAGCGUGCUUUUGAUACGGGCAAACUAGAGGGAUGCAGGGGAGAACGGAAUUCCUGGUGGAGCGGUGGAAUGCGCAGAUAUCAGGAGGAACACCGGUGGCGAAGGCGGUUCUCUGGGCAUUUCCUGACGCUGAGAAGCGAAAGCGUGGGGAGCAAACAGGCUUAGAUACCCUGGUAGUCCACGCCGUAAACGGUGGGCACUAGGUGUGGGACUCAUUCCACGAGUUCCGUGCCGAAGCUAACGCAUUAAGUGCCCCGCCUGGGGGAGUACGGCCGCAAGGCUAAAACUC